CCACAAACGCCAGAUGAUGGCGCUCUCGCAAGGGCUCUCAUACCAGACUGUACCAUAUCAGACGAACGUGGGUCACAGCUUAAAGAAUGGUUGAGAAAUAAUUCUCAGCCCCUCAGCCAGAUAGAGACCUACAUGCCGAACACAGCAGUCUACAGGGCCAAGUGGAUUAGGGACAACAAUUGGACCAUCGAUCAGAUCCUCGAAGAGUUCCCUCACCUAAUGACCAAAGGCAUGAUUGCACAGGCUUGUCCUGCAUGGGGAUGCUGCAUCAAAGUUGUUUGAAACUUGGUCACGUGAAAUGCCAGGAGGGGAGUCUAAAAUGGUAAAGUUUAUUCAAAGUAGAAUACUUGCUUGCAAGUAGAGCUAAUGGCUCUUAAU
This is a long non-coding RNA of Perca flavescens (yellow perch), 378 nucleotides long. RefSeq lists it as uncharacterized. Lineage: Eukaryota; Metazoa; Chordata; Actinopteri; Perciformes; Percidae. The record is from RefSeq and is a predicted model, not a curated record. The transcript has 3 exons.